AUUGUGAUCCUACCUCUGAAUAUAGAAAGGGCCCAGGUUCAAUAGUUAGUUAUUAUUUUUAUUGAAAAUAUUAUUAAUAGUAGUAAUAUUGAGGAGCGCAGAAGAUAACCUUAAAAAAAGAAAGAAAAAAGUGCGUGAUCGAUGAUUCAUUGUUGAAUAUCAUAAGGGCGCUUUAUCGAAUAAAUAAUAAUUGCUUACGUGCUAAUAUAGUUAUCAAAAGAACACAAAAAUGUUGAGCGGGGCGAGUUUAAGUAUUGAAAGGGUAAACAAAGAAAAUUACGACGCGUGGAAAUUGCAAAUGGCGGCAAUACUAGAGCUACCGGCAUUUGAAACGUAGCCAAUCUUUACCAAAGUCGGUCGAAAUGCCCGGUCUUUAAAAAAUACGUAAUAGUAGAAUAUUUUUAUAUUUAUUGACCUCUUAUUAUCUUACAAAAGGAACUCCAUGUUCUGAGAUCAUAAAAACUAUAUAAUAACUUUAAUAAUAACAAUAAGUACAAUAAUGAAGAAUAUUCAGUACCAAAACUUUUGGUAAUAAGAAUGUUAAAAUAAAUUUUCAUUGGUAAAUAUAAGAAGUAUAAUAUAAGAAUACAAUAAUAAGCGCAAUAAGCGUAAUAGAAUAAAUAAAAUACAAAUAUAAUUUAAAUUAUUAGAUACAAAAUUUAUCAUUCAUCACAUUUCUUAUAAACGUAAGCUUUCUUCUGUGUGCAUUUCUUGCAAACAUUGUCAGCGGCAAGUUCUUCUACUAAUUGAAACAUAAAAUCUUUUCUGGAUAUCUGCUCACCUGUGGUUUUCUUAUAUAAAAUUGAGGAAAUUAUGCCAGCUAAAUCUAAAAUAUUAAAAAAUACUUGAAGUGGCCAUCUUCUUGAUCCCGAUUUCACGAUAUAUUUUCUUGCCAUUUGGUCUGCUAUAUCUACCCCAAAUUUUGUUUUAUUAUAAAAUUAGACCGUUUCAGGUAGGUCCUUUUCGCUUUUUCCUAAAUAAGGAAAUCCAUUUACAACAUACUUUAUUUGAAUAUCAGAUGCCAACCAAAAUCUAAUUCCGAACUUGCCGGGUUUAUUCGGUAAAUAUUGCGUAAAUCUGCAUCUGGCUUUGGUUGGGAAAAGUAGCUCGUCUAUUGUCAUGUUUGCACUAGGUUUAUAGCAAUUCUGGCUGUUUUCAAUAAACUUAUCCCAUACAGAUGAUAUUAGUGCAAAUUUGUCAUUUUUCAAACGUUGACUUCUAUCAUCUUUUUGUCAAAUCGAAUAAAUGUCAAUAUUUCAACUCAUUUCAUUUCGACUCAUUGUGCUGGAAAGGAAGCUUGGUCCCCAUUUUGUAUUCCACAAAUAUGAAAGUUUCAAAUUUUUCGCUUCGUAUGCUCCCCGUACAAUAUUCUAAGGAAUGCUUUCAAUUUUGUUUCUGUAAGAAUCCAUUUUUUACCCAAAACUUGAGAGGCUUCUGAUUCGGUGCAAGAUAUAUGUUGCAACAUAUGGCUGUCGAUCAGUAAGGAAAGUGCGCUAAUUACUUUAUCUUUCAUGAUACUUUUUUUGCAUAUCUCGUGAGCCGGUUGUGUCUUUGAAUAUAUUGUGCAAGGGUAAUCUCCCAGAAGCUGACCCUUCUUGAAUUCUUUCCCACUUAGUUCCGUUUACGGCAAUUUCAUUUGGACUAGCUUGUACACUUUCAGUUUCACUUUCAGAACUUGAAAGCAUCCGAGCACGUCUUUUGCGUACAUUCAAAAUGUUCUCUUUCUCACUUUCUGAGGAUUCAUUUUCUUUGUCACUAAUGUCACUAUUACUGUUAUCAUUACAAAUUUCAAUUUUUUUCCCCUGGUUUACUUCCUUCACACUCAGAGAAUUCACUAUCCUCGAUAUCAGAGCAUUCCAUUGGUAUCCUUUUCAGUUUUUGCAAUAAUUCGAAUGCUUCCAAUUGUUUACAUUUUCAAGACUUGUAAAAUAUUGCUUUAUAAAACGAGAAAUCAGGUCUUAUUCCAACGACUUUUUGAAUUCAUAGAGCCAAUAAAAAAUCAAAAAGUAAAAUUAACGAAUGACAAAUUAGCUGAAAUCAAAGGUAAAGGUACUGCAAUAAUUAUUUAGUUAUAUAAAAAACAAACUUGAGAAAUUUCGAUUGGAAAACGCAUUAUAUAUACCAGAAUUAAAAGCAAAUUUGAUCUCAGUAUCAAAAGUUACAGCAAAUGGAAAAGGGAUUGUAUUUGCAAAUAAAAUGGCUACAAUAUUUGGAAAAAAAGAUGAAAUCGUUAUUACUGCUAUUCAUAAAAAGGAUUUAUAUAUUGUAGAUACAAAAUUCGAAUAUAUUGGUAUGGUAUAUGAAAACAGAAAUACACUUAUGGAUUGGCACUAUCGAUAUGGACACUUAAAUGAAUCUGAUUUUUGAAGAUUAAUAAAUAAAAAUAUUGUAAAUGGCCUACCUAACGUAAGAUUGAAUAAAAUGAAUACUUGCAAAAUAUGUUUGAAAGGCAAACAGGCAGCAACCCCAAUGCCAAAGAGAACUGAAUUAAAAAUGUUGGAAAUAUUAGAACUGAUACAUUCUGAUGUACGUGACCCUAUAAGACAAACAUCUUUGGGUGGAGCAAAGUAUUUUGCUACCUUUAUUUAUGACACAUUAAGGGAAUUUACAACUCUCCAUAUACCUCAGAAAAAUGGAGUAGCUGAGCGAAUGAAUAAAACAAUUGUGGAGAUGAUAUGAUGUAUGUUGAUCCAGACAAAGUUACCUAUCCAAUUUUGGACGGAAGCUGGUAAUAUGGCGUCAUAUAUUAGGAAUAGGUGCCCAACAGUUCAUGGUAAAACACCAUAUGAAAUUUGGCAUAAAAGGAAACCAAAUGUGAAUCAAAUUAAAAUUUUUGGUACUGAAGUUUAUGUAUUAAAUAAGCGGCCCGAUAAAAGUAAAUUUGAAGCAAGAUCAACAAAAUGUAUUUUUAUUGGAUAUUCUGAUGAAUUAAAAGCAUUUGAUUAUAGGAUCCAAGUAAAUGAAAAGUCAUAAUAAGUAGAGAUGUUUCUUUUUUAAGAAAUAUUCAGUAUCACAAUGAUGAAACUGAAAAUGAACUUGAACAAUUUCAAUAUGAACUGAUAAGUCAAGAAUUUGACGAAGAAAUCUCAGAAGAGAUUCAUGAGGAAGAACAUGAUGAUGGUGAAAACAUGAAUCAAAAUGAAAAUUGUGUUCAAGAUAGAUUUGUGGUCAAGAGGGGCCAAGGAAGGCCAAACAAUACAAACAAGAAAUGUUGGUAGACCAAGGAAAAUUUAUAAAACUGACCCAAUUAAUCAAUAAACGGUACAAUUAGUUAAUUAUAAUUAGACUGAGCCAAUAGAUGAAUUAUUAUCUGGACCUCAUGUAGAAAAAUGGAAAGAAGCCAUGAAAAAGGAAUAUGACAGCUUGAUCAAAAAUAACGUUUGGGAAUUAGUAAAAUGUCCAGUGAAUAGAUCUCCAAUUGGAUCAAAAUGGGCUUUAAACACCAAAUAUAAUGAAAAUGGAAAAGUUGAACGCAGAAAAGCAAGAUUAUUAGCGGGAGGUUUAGCUCAAAAACCAGGUAUUGAAUACAAUGAAACCUUCGCUCCCGUGGCACGAUUAACUUCCAUUAGAGUUAUAAUGGCCUUAGCUGCUAAAUUAAAAUUGGAUUUAUAUCAAUUGGAUAUAACCAUGGCAUCUGCUUAUGUUCAAUAUCCAUUGUUCAUAAUUGUUUAGUUCAAAAUCCAGUGUUCCACGGUCGCACGAAGCAUAUAGACAACCGCCAUCAUUAUAUUCGUGAGAUUUUUCCAAAGGGAAUCAUUGGAAUUUGCAUCCAUAUGCAGAUGCGUUAGUUACUAAGUUACUCAUGUAUACAUGUAGUACGAUUAUUUACUGCAGACAGUCUGUAGCUGUUGACGACGCUGUUUAUAUAUCUCUUGACCAGUCGCUGAGAGAACAUCAAGAGGUCUACAUCUUCGCAUAAUACAUUUAAGAAAAUGAAAGAGUGGCCGGAAGUUACCAUAUACCAAAAUGACAUUAGUCCACACUGUCGUACCGUUCUAAUGGUGAUUAAGGAACUUGGGCUGAACGUCACGUUUCGCGAGGUUAACCUGGAUAAGAAGGAACAUCUAUCAGAGGAAUUUUUAAAAAUGAAUCCUUUGCACACGAUUCCGGUGAUGGAAGAGUGCGGAUAUGUUCUUACGGAUAGUCACGCUAUCGCAUGUUUUAUAAUUGAUGAUUUGUCAUAUUUUGAUUAUUCUCUGUACCCGAAAGAUCUCCAGGUACGAGCUCUGAUUAAUCAGUAUCUCAUGAUCGAAGCGACGACACUGUUCCCUCUUGUGAAGCACACCAUAGUACCGAUAAUGUUGGGACAAAAGUCUUCUAUCUCCAAAGAAAUGUUGGACGGAUGCAAGGAAGCGUACUCGUGCUUGGAUAAGCUUCUGGAAGGCAAGAAAUGGUUGGUCGGCAACUCUUACACUCUCGCGGAUAUUAAUUGCGUAACUGUGGCCAGCAGUAUCUCUGUUCUGAUGGAUCUGGAUCAAUAUCCAAAUGUAAAGGCUUGGAUAAAAAGUUGCGAGGACGAAAUAUCGAGCUACAAUGAAUGCAAUGUGCCAGGGCUUAAAAAGUUACAUGCUCGCCUUCGUGCAGCACUUCCCAGUUCCUAAAUAUAUAAAAUAGCUAUAUAUGUAUAUAUAUAUAUAUAUAUAUAUCUAUAGAUAAAUAAGUAUCAUAUAUACAUAUAUAGAUGUAUAGAUAUAAUAAAUAUAUCUAUAGUCAGAGUGGAAGAGUGAGAUGAUUGAUUUGAUAAUACGUGUGGAGUUCUAACAAUUUUUUUUUAGUUUUUACGUAUCAUUUUUUAAAUUUGUAAUUUUGCUAUAAUUUGUUAUAUACAUAGUUGUAUGAUAAAUACUAAUAAAAAUACAUAUAUACUUAUAUCAGAUUCAUUUUAAAGUCUCUCUCUCUCUCUCUCUCUUAGCUUCGCUUAAAAAACGUAAACAAAAUGUCGUUUAAUUAGCGACGCAUUAUUCGAUAUAACAAGAAAAUAUUUUUAAAAGAUUACUUACGCAAUACCACCUGAUAAGGGACACGCCAUCUUUUAUUCUACCGAAAGUAUCACGCCUGCUUCAAAUUCUGUUUGUCGAAUUGUAAUAUAUUUAUACAUGAAGAUAAUAUGUCACUUAGAAGCAACAAUUAAAAGUUGAACUAUAAAUAAAUGUCACGAUAAAUUACAAUGCUAACAGUUCACUUUAGGCAAGCUCUCAAUUCAGGAUGACAUUUUAUCAAGUUUCAACGAGCAUCACUCAGUUGCAAAUAACAUAAACGGAUACAUGUUGUCAGCUAGGUGGUUGAGCCACAACUGAACAAACUGAAUGACCACCGACUCGCGAAACUAUCGGUCUUAUAUUUCCAAGUUAGACGGCACGUGAAUGAACGAUUGAUUGUUGAUUAAGCUUCUUUGCCUGUUUUUGUAUAUUAGAAAGCUAUCUAUAAACAUUCUAGUAUCUGCGAAGAAUGUUAUUACACCACUUCGUUUGAUUAUUGACAGAAGAAUUUUGUUUUCUACGGGUUAUCAUGUAUGUAUAUAUGAGUAGAAGGAAUAGAGUUUUUUAAUCGAUAAGCCGAUCCUUCUAUUACACGUGUUUUUAUUUCCGCGAUUACAGAAUAUCGAUCAUCGAAAUAUCGAAUAUAUAAAAAUUAGGAGUUUCAUCAUUGAUAAGUGGUCUUUAAUCAUAUUAAAGAUGGCAUAAUAACUAAAAUGAUUCAGAAUUAUGAACGAUUUCAUAAAUUGCGAAAUUCAUCUUGUUAUUCUACGAUAUGCUUAUAUAUGUUUUGAUCGAUAAUGCAAAAUCUACCUGUACUACUGUUAGAAACAAAAAUGGCAUUCGUUCACCUGCUCCGAAAUUAAUAGUCAUAAAUAGACAUGUGAAUGCCAGGUGUCGCGAAAAUGAACUUUUUAAAUCAGCAUAGUUGCAUGAUCGAGACGAUAGAUCUCGCAAAUUAUGUAAUUGAGUGACAAAUUUAUGAAAUUAAUCUUUCACAUCUCUUUAUUGUUAACUUGUUUAGCAAAUUAUAGGAAUCGAAAAUAUUUUUCCGAGUAGAUAUUUCUACAGAUAUUUCUACAGUAUUCUAGAGUAUUGAAAUAUUCUUAAUUCAUGGGAUCGUUAAUCUUUCGUAAUAUAUUAAUUGCUUUUUCUUCCGCUAUCUAUCAACGUGUUAUCGUAAACGGUCAGAACAUCGAUAGUUUUCGUAUUGCGGAGAGUAAUGGAACAUUGCGUAACAUUGACCCUGCCCUCAUUUAUCAGAUUAUUUUGUGUUACGAAUUUGUAACGCUUUUGAAAUUAUGCUCGGUUAUAUUCGUUGUCGAUAUGUAAUCCAGUGCCGUACCAAGAAUAACGUAUCGUCGAAUUUGUUUUCUUAUCAGUUACAAGACUGUUGUAAUGAUUAUAUGUAGUAUCAUUUAAAGAUACUUCGAUAACCUUGAAAUCUCGAAAAAAAGUGGCCUCGAGAAAAUAUUUUUGACUAUCAACAUAUUUCCCCCUUCAUACCGAAUAUUCUUUUCUAUUAAUAUUUUUUCCUACCACAAAAGAUAAGUGAGCUAUUUAAGAUGGAUGCAAAUAUUUUUUGCAGCUACUCGCAAGUUAAUAUAAUCGAAGAAGUUCGAUUAAAAUUUCGUUCCAGUAAAUGGUGAUCAGAUACACCAGCUCAGCGAAUCAUUGAAAAAUUUCACGGCCACGUAUUUUCGAACUUAUCGAAAACUUUAACGAUAUAAACGCGAUAAUUGAUUCGAAACAAUGAUAAUGAAUUGUCAAGAGUUUCGCAUAUCGCACGUAUAACGGGUAUACCUAUAUUUAUAAAAGAUAUCUGCAAAAUAUUUCUAACAUUUUCAUCAGUUAGUUCAAAUGAAAUUCUGCUGUGUACGAUCUGUUUCAUCCUCGAAAUGAUCAAACGAAUGUUUGUCUUUUUACUAACUUUAGAACCUUAACAAUGUCAACUGGCAAGGUUGCUGUCGCAUAUUAUCUCUCUAUUCGUUUCUCGUUGAGACAGAAUUCAUCGUGUAGAUGUUCUCUUGUUAAAUUGGUCAGUUAACCAGGCAGUAGAAUACUUUCAGUGGAUCGAGAACGAUCAACUACAGUAACUAUUUACGUGUAUCUCGUGAGAAAAUUAGUGAACCGUAGUUACAUUAUACAUUAUACAUUUGAUUUCCAUAGACACGAUGAACUUGGUCUGUAUGUAAUGUACAUUGCCGGCCAUAAACGCAAGCGCAAACAAUCGUUACAUUUGUUUAGAAAGUUGGUAGUUUACUUCUGAAAGGAGUACAAUCCGAUAAACAGGAUCGCUAAACUGAAGUAUUGAAGGUUACUAAGUUACUCAUGUAUACAUGUAGCACGAUUAUUUAUUGCAGACAGUCUGUAGCUGUUGACGACGCUGUUUAUAUAUCUCUUGAAAAUCGGACCAACACCUAAUAGAUUCCACACAGAUACCUGGUUCCCGUCAUUUACAUAUAUCGGGCGAUAAGACGCGGAAACCUCUCUCGAGAAUUCGUGUCAGGCAUCGGCAUCGCGGCGAACCGAGCGCCGAUGAUCAAAAUAUUCUCCAAUACCGAAUCAUCGAUUAUCUGUUUUAGCCAGUCGCUGAGAGAACAUCAAGAGGUCUACAUCUUCGCAUAAUACAUUUAA
Molecule: RNA transcript, 7613 nt
Organism: Bombus terrestris (buff-tailed bumblebee)
Lineage: Eukaryota; Metazoa; Arthropoda; Insecta; Hymenoptera; Apidae
Gene name: glutathione S-transferase 1
Exons: 10
Source: RefSeq, a predicted model, not a curated record